CCUACGGGAGGCAGCAGUGGGGAAUCUUGCGCAAUGGGCGAAAGCCUGACGCAGCCAUGCCGCGUGAAUGAUGAAGGUCUUAGGAUUGUAAAAAUUCUUUCACCGGGGACGAUAAUGACGGUACCCGGAGAAGAAGCCCCGGCUAACUUCGUGCCAGCAGCCGCGGUAAUACGAAGGGGGGCUAGCGUUGCUCGGAAUUACUGGGCGUAAAGGGAGCGUAGGCGGAUAGUUUAGUCAGAGGUGAAAGCCCAGGGCUCAACCUUGGAAUUGCCUUUGAUACUGGCUAUCUUGAGUGUGGGAGAGGUUAGCGGAACUCCGAGUGUAGAGGUGAAAUUCGUAGAUAUUCGGAAGAACACCAGUGGCGAAGGCGGCUAACUGGCCCAUUACUGACGCUGAGGCUCGAAAGCGUGGGGAGCAAACAGGAUUAGAUACCCUGGUAGUCCACGCCGUAAACGAUGAGUGCUAGUUGUCGGCAUGCAUGCAUGUCGGUGACGCAGCUACG
This 502-nucleotide ribosomal RNA is filed under the name uncultured bacterium. Its description in RNAcentral is "bacterial SSU rRNA". It matches the Rfam family "Bacterial small subunit ribosomal RNA", at positions 338 to 856 of the family's 1533-position model. The record is from RNAcentral.